This 943-nucleotide ribosomal RNA is filed under the name uncultured archaeon. Its description in RNAcentral is "bacterial SSU rRNA". It matches the Rfam family "Archaeal small subunit ribosomal RNA", at positions 86 to 990 of the family's 1478-position model. The record is from RNAcentral.
UGGCUCAGUAACACGUGGAGAAUCUAACCUUUGGUGGAGGAUAAUCUCGGGAAACUGAGAAUAAUACUCCAUAAACAUAGGAUGCUGGAAUGCUUCUAUGUUGAAAGGCAACGCCAAAGGAUGACUCUGCGACCUAUCAGGCUGUAGUGAGUGUAAUGGACUCACUAACCUGCAACGGGUACGGGUGUUGGAAGACAUUGCCCGGAGAUGGACUCUGAGACAUGAGUCCAGGUUCUACGGAACGCAGCAGGCGCGAAAACUCCGCAAUGUACGAAAGUACGACGGGGGAAUUCUGAGUGCUUACGCCUUGCGUAGGCUGUUUUCUUGUCUAAAAAACAAGGAGAGUAAGGGCUGGGUAUGACGGGUGCCAUCUCGUGCAAUUCUGCACUUAUUGUGUUCGUUGCACGAAGCACAAGCCGCCGCGGUAAUACCCGCGGCCCGAGUGGUGCUCAUUAUUAUUGAGCCUAAAACGUCCGUAGCCGGUUUAAUAAAUUCUUGGGUAAAUCAUAUCGCUUAACGAUAUGAAUUCUGAGAACACUGCUAAACUCGGGAAUGGGAGAGGCCAGAGGUACUUUCAGGGUAGGGGUAAAAUCCCGUAAUCCUGAGAGGACCACCGGUGGCGAAGGCGUCUGGCUAGAACAUAUUCGACGGUAAGGGACGAAGCCCUGGGGCGCAACGGGAUUAGAUACCCCGGUAGUCCAGGGUGUAAACGCUGUAGAUUUGGUGUUGGAAAUCCUACGGGGAUUCCCAGUGCCGGAGAGAAGUUGUUAAAUCUACUGCUUGGGGAGUACGGUCGCAAGACUGAAACUUAAAGGAAUUGGCGGGGGAGCACCGCAACGGGUGGAGCGUGCGGUUUAAUUGGAUUCAACGCCGAGAAACUCACCGGGGGCGACCAUUAUAUGAAGGCCAAGCCAAUGACUUUGCCUAAUUUUUGGAGAGGUGG